This 232-nucleotide long non-coding RNA is filed under the name Elaeis guineensis (African oil palm). Its description in RNAcentral is "long non-coding RNA (EGUI_LNC040458)". The record is from RNAcentral. Lineage: Eukaryota; Viridiplantae; Streptophyta; Magnoliopsida; Arecales; Arecaceae.
CCGACCUUAUGUGUGGCAUCUCUCUGAACCCCCUCGAUCGUCCGGACUUUUUGAUAAUGAACUUCUGCAUUCAUCUACCGGGCCACCCCAAAAGCUCUCUGGGCCUCACUACUAGCCAACUUUCUACAGUAAUCAACUACUCUCCGAAUCCCUUCCGAACUUCUUUCAACCACGAACGACCCUAUUUCAAGCUUCUUUCGGACUUCGUCAGCAUUCGAGCUUCUCCGACAAC